AGCUUUGCACAGUGGCAGUAUCAUAGCUAAUGAGGUGUAUCCAAAGCGUGAUUAUUGCUCAUUGAAAACUUUAUCUGAUACAAU
RNAcentral lists this small nuclear RNA (84 nucleotides) under Ovis aries (sheep). Its description in RNAcentral is "U4 spliceosomal RNA (multiple genes)". It matches the Rfam family "U4 spliceosomal RNA", at positions 1 to 84 of the family's 138-position model. From Rfam's summary of the family: U4 small nuclear RNA (U4 snRNA) is a component of the major U2-dependent spliceosome. The structure of U4 snRNA from yeast and human has been reported. Lineage: Eukaryota; Metazoa; Chordata; Mammalia; Artiodactyla; Bovidae. The record is from RNAcentral.